CGCGGGGUGGAGCAGUCUGGUAGCUCGUUGGGCUCAUAACCCAAAGGUCGUAGGUUCAAAUCCUGCCCCCGCAACCA
This 77-nucleotide transfer RNA is filed under the name Pseudomonas fluorescens. RNAcentral describes it as "tRNA-Met". It matches the Rfam family "tRNA". Rfam says of the family: Transfer RNA (tRNA) molecules are approximately 80 nucleotides in length. Their secondary structure includes four short double-helical elements and three loops (D, anti-codon, and T loops). The record is from RNAcentral. RNAcentral also lists the same sequence under 152 other names. Lineage: Bacteria; Pseudomonadati; Pseudomonadota; Gammaproteobacteria; Pseudomonadales; Pseudomonadaceae.